UACGGGGGGUGCGAGCGUUGUUCGGAAUUACUGGGCGUAAAGGGCUCGUAGGCGGCCAACUAAGUCAGACGUGAAAUCCCUCGGCUUAACCGGGGAACUGCGUCUGAUACUGGAUGGCUAGAGGUUGGGAGAGGGAUGCGGAAUUCCAGGUGUAGCGGUGAAAUGCGUAGAUAUCUGGAGGAACACCGGUGGCGAAGGCGGCAUCCUGGACCAAUUCUGACGCUGAUGAGCGAAAGCCAGGGGAGCAAACGGG
Molecule: ribosomal RNA, 253 nt
Filed under: uncultured bacterium
Lineage: Bacteria
Description: partial 16S ribosomal RNA
Rfam family: Bacterial small subunit ribosomal RNA
Source: RNAcentral